AAGUUAACAUAUCAGCACAAAGAUACCUGGAAGAAACGUUAAGACCCUUGACAAUCCUUGGGGAUAGUCAGGGGGAGCUGAGUUUCUCACUGGGGUCUGGGCCUUGGUUUA
This is a microRNA precursor of Equus caballus (horse), 111 nucleotides long. The record is from Ensembl. NCBI's taxonomy places the organism in Eukaryota, Metazoa, Chordata, Mammalia, Perissodactyla, Equidae.